This 492-nucleotide ribosomal RNA is filed under the name uncultured bacterium. RNAcentral describes it as "partial 16S ribosomal RNA". It matches the Rfam family "Bacterial small subunit ribosomal RNA", at positions 29 to 507 of the family's 1533-position model. The record is from RNAcentral.
AGUGAACGCUGGCGGUAGGCCUAACACAUGCAAGUCGAACGGCAGCACAGUAAGAGCUUGCUCUUACGGGUGGCGAGUGGCGGACGGGUGAGGAAUACAUCGGAAUCUACUUUUUCGUGGGGGAUAACGUAGGGAAACUUACGCUAAUACCGCAUACGACCUACGGGUGAAAGCAGGGGAUCUUCGGACCUUGCGCGAUUGAAUGAGCCGAUGUCGGAUCAGCUAGUUGGCGGGGUAAAGGCCCACCAAGGCGACGAUCCGUAGCUGGUCUGAGAGGAUGAUCAGCCACACUGGAACUGAGACACGGUCCAGACUCCUACGGGAGGCAGCAGUGGGGAAUAUUGGACAAUGGGCGCAAGCCUGAUCCAGCCAUACCGCGUGGGUGAAGAAGGCCUUCGGGUUGUAAAGCCCUUUUGUUGGGAAAGAAAAGCAGCAGGUUAAUACCCCGCUGUUCUGACGGUACCCAAAGAAUAAGCUCCGGCUAACUUCGUG